This 317-nucleotide ribosomal RNA is filed under the name Campylobacter jejuni. RNAcentral's name for it is "partial 23S ribosomal RNA". It matches the Rfam family "Bacterial large subunit ribosomal RNA", at positions 1 to 332 of the family's 2925-position model. Lineage: Bacteria; Pseudomonadati; Campylobacterota; Epsilonproteobacteria; Campylobacterales; Campylobacteraceae. The record is from RNAcentral.
UAAAAAAAGGUAAGCUACUAAGAGCGAAUGGUGGAUGCCUUGACUGGUAAAGGCGAUGAAGGACGUACUAGACUGCGAUAAGCUACGGGGAGCUGUCAAGAAGCUUUGAUCCGUAGAUUUCCGAAUGGGGCAACCCAAUGUAUAGAGAUAUACAUUACCUAUAUAGGAGCGAACGAGGGGAAUUGAAACAUCUUAGUACCCUCAGGAAAAGAAAUCAAUAGAGAUUGCGUCAGUAGCGGCGAGCGAAAGCGCAAGAGGGCAAACCCAGUGCUUGCACUGGGGGUUGUAGGACUGCAAUGUGCAAGAGGUAAGUUUAG